Molecule: transfer RNA, 83 nt
Filed under: Thelephora terrestris
Lineage: Eukaryota; Fungi; Basidiomycota; Agaricomycetes; Thelephorales; Thelephoraceae
Also listed under: 1 other name
Rfam family: tRNA
About the family: Transfer RNA (tRNA) molecules are approximately 80 nucleotides in length.
Source: Rfam by way of RNAcentral
CUCACCAUAGCUCAGUUGGUAGAGCGUGAGACUGUAAUUGGAUAAUCAUCUCAAGGUCACUAGUUCGAUCCUGGUUGGUGAGA